RNAcentral lists this ribosomal RNA (323 nucleotides) under uncultured eukaryote. RNAcentral's name for it is "partial 18S ribosomal RNA". It matches the Rfam family "Eukaryotic small subunit ribosomal RNA", at positions 1470 to 1796 of the family's 1831-position model. The record is from RNAcentral.
CCCUUAGAUGUUCUGGGCUGCACGCGUGCUACACUGAUAUUGCCAAUAUGUCAUUCUUAUCCGAAAUGGAUUGGGUAAUCAAGUAAUGAAAUUUCAUGCUUGGAAUCGGUAAUUGCAAUUUUAUCGUGAACGAGGAAUUCCUAGUAAGCACUAGUCAUCAGCUAAUGUUGACUAUGUCCCUGCCCUUUGUACACACCGCCCGUCGCUACUACUGAUUGGGUGUUCAAGUGAGAUGCUUAGACCCUUGUUGCAUGGUUCAUUAUUGUGCUCCGAAAGGAAAAAGUUUCAAGCUUGAGUGUCUAGAGGAAGUAAAAGUCGUAACA